GAUGAACGCUGGCGGCGUGCUUAACACAUGCAAGUCGAACGGAAAGGCUCCUGCUUGCAGGGGUACUCGAGUGGCGAACGGGUGAGUAACACGUGGGUGAUCUGCCCUGCACUUCGGGAUAAGCCUGGGAAACCGGGUCUAAUACCGGAUAGGACGAUGGUUUGGAUGCCAUUGUGGAAAGUUUUUCGGUGUGGGAUGAGCUCGCGGCCUAUCAGCUUGUUGGUGGGGUAAUGGCCUACCAAGGCGUCGACGGGUAGCCGGCCUGAGAGGGUGUACGGCCACAUUGGGACUGAGAUACGGCCCAGACUCCUACGGGAGGCAGCAGUGGGGAAUAUUGCACAAUGGGCGCAAGCCUGAUGCAGCGACGCCGCGUGGGGGAUGACGGCCUUCGGGUUGUAAACUCCUUUCGUCAGGGACGAAGCGAAAGUGACGGUACCUGGAUAAGAAGCACCGGCUAACUACGUG
RNAcentral lists this ribosomal RNA (465 nucleotides) under uncultured bacterium. Its description in RNAcentral is "partial 16S ribosomal RNA". It matches the Rfam family "Bacterial small subunit ribosomal RNA", at positions 28 to 507 of the family's 1533-position model. The record is from RNAcentral.